UGCCAGCCGCCGCGGUAAUACGGAGGGUGCAAGCGUUGCUCGGAAUCACUGGGCGUAAAGCGGACGCAGGCGGAACGUUAAGUUGGAUGUGAAAGCCCCGGGCUCAACCUGGGAACUGCAUUCAAAACUGGCGUUCUUGAGUUCAAGAGAGGGUGGUGGAAUUCCUGGUGUAGAGGUGAAAUUCGUUGAUAUCAGGAGGAACACCGGCGGCGAAGGCGGCCACCUGGCUUGAUACUGACGCUCAUGUCCGAAAGCGUGGGGAGCAAACAGGAUUAGAUA
This 279-nucleotide ribosomal RNA is filed under the name uncultured bacterium. RNAcentral describes it as "partial 16S ribosomal RNA". It matches the Rfam family "Bacterial small subunit ribosomal RNA", at positions 506 to 784 of the family's 1533-position model. The record is from RNAcentral.